Molecule: transfer RNA, 58 nt
Filed under: Libnetis sp. UPOL TH0082
Lineage: Eukaryota; Metazoa; Arthropoda; Insecta; Coleoptera; Lycidae
Description: tRNA-Leu
Source: RNAcentral
UGUGGCAGAUUAGUGCAAUAAAUUUAAGCUUUAUUUAAAAAGUCAGUCUUUCUUUAGA